CAAACUACUUGAUUUCUUAUUUUUUUCAUCUGGGUUUGCGUUAGCUUUCGAGUUUUAGGUCUUGAAUCUGAUUUGAAGUUGAAUUGUGUACUGUAAUGAUUGUGAUUCUUAAUGGGUUAAUGGGCUAGAUCUUGCUCCCUUUUGCUGGCUUGCUCUUUUGAAUUGUGGUUUCUGGAUUUAUUGGAUUUUGGGGUUCUGGAUCUUCUUUGUUUUUAGUUCUACUUGAUGAGUUGCUGAUUUUCUAUAUGGUUUGUUCUUACUUCGUCCUUGGAUUCUCUCCUAAGGCGAUUGCUGCGAUUAUAUUUGUUUGUAUCUGUAUGGAUUUGAAUGAAUGAGAUGCGAUGGGGAUUGUUGUGAGUGUAACUCCUGAGAGAGAUUUUGUGGGCAAGGAGAGAUAUCUUCUGAGUGUGAGCCGGGCACUCUCAAUUGCGUCUGGGAUUUGCUAUGUUAGAAGGAUUUUGAUGGCCAGCUAACAUUUUUCUUAAGUUGAAGCUUGCAAAAUAGGGAGUUUCAUGUUUGAUCUUUCAAGAAUGUGCUUAUGUUUUUUGGGCUGGUGUUUCAGAAAUUGAUUGG
This is a long non-coding RNA of Cucurbita maxima (winter squash), 573 nucleotides long. RefSeq lists it as uncharacterized. The transcript has 3 exons. Lineage: Eukaryota; Viridiplantae; Streptophyta; Magnoliopsida; Cucurbitales; Cucurbitaceae. The record is from RefSeq and is a predicted model, not a curated record.